UACAGAGGGGGCAAGCGUUGUCCGGAAUUACUGGGCGUACAGCGCGCGCAGGCGGUUGUCAACGUGCCGUGUGACAAGCGGGGGCUCAACCCCCGAGGGCCACGGUACACGGGGCGACUGGAGGCAGGGAGAGGGAUGUGGAAUGCCCGGUGGAGCGGUGAAAUGCGUAGAUAUCAUUUGGAACGCCAAUGGUGAAAACAGGUAGCUGGGGAUGUGCUGACGCUGAGACACGAAAGCCAGGGGAGCGAACGGG
This 253-nucleotide ribosomal RNA is filed under the name uncultured bacterium. Its description in RNAcentral is "partial 16S ribosomal RNA". It matches the Rfam family "Bacterial small subunit ribosomal RNA", at positions 524 to 776 of the family's 1533-position model. The record is from RNAcentral.